GACAGAGGGUGCAAACGUUGUUCGGAAUUACUGGGCGUAAAGGGCGCGUAGGCGGCCUGCUAAGUCGGAUGUGAAAUCCCUCGGCUCAACCGAGGAACUGCAUCCGAUACUGGCGGGCUUGAAUCCGGGAGAGGGAUGUGGAAUUCCAGGUGUAGCGGUGAAAUGCGUAGAUAUCAGGAGGAACACCCGAGGCGAAGGCGGCUCUCUGGGUCGUACCUGACGCUGAGGCGCGAAAGCGUGGGGAGCGAACGGG
This 253-nucleotide ribosomal RNA is filed under the name uncultured bacterium. Its description in RNAcentral is "partial 16S ribosomal RNA". It matches the Rfam family "Bacterial small subunit ribosomal RNA", at positions 524 to 776 of the family's 1533-position model. The record is from RNAcentral.